UGUAUCACGCAUGUAUCCACAAGAUGCCGCUGGCGCUCCAAAUUAAAUCAUAUCUGGACUAUACAACGGCUACAGUGCGCAGCUAAUAAUGCACGACAGUGAGGAUUCUACGACAAAACAUUAUAAAACCGAAAAGGUUCAAAUCAAACAACUCAACUGCUUUUGUUCUGUGGGACUUUAAUAUGUUUGCCACACCAAAGAAAUCUCUCGACAGCACGCAGACAUUUCGCAUUUAAGACAUAAAUGCGCACCCAGCAAUAAACUUUCUAGCUGCUGUGCCCUAAACCAAAGACAAGUAGGUGAGUGUCACACAUUCAUAAAUGCAUGUGCUACCUAGAAUGCCAUUUUGGGGAGGGCCUGCGUGAGGACUGCGCGUGCUGCUGCUGCGGCUGUCUCAUGGCACGCGACUGUGUGCAGAAUCCAGGUAAAUCCUUUAAGACGGCGGCGGUGACAGUCAUCACUACCCUCCCGAUGAGUGAACUUGAAUAGAUUUCGGCGCAUGCAAGAGACGAAUAAACUCGCAUAUCUUCUCAGAAGAAACUUGCACGCAGGCUUCAGCGAAGACUGCAUCUUUAUUUCAUUCCUGUGACAACAAUCGGAACCAGAAUUGGACCACAAACUUUCCAGCAAUCGAAACAGAGGACGUAAAUCAAAGACAAGCUGGGUUGAUACACCUCUCAAACAAUGGACGUCAAGCAGAGUAUGAUGAAAGCAGAGGCUUCGCACCUUUCCGACAACCUGCUCUUCCACCUGUCAUAUGGCCAGCACAGGAGACAUAGAGGGAGAGAUGUUUACUCGAUAGGGUCCUGGAAAACAUCUGUUGUCAUGCUGACCACCAGAAGAUACAACAAGAGCACUUGAUCCAGGCAGAAGGAUGGGCUGGGUGUGGGAGCGUACAAUAAAGAUGAUGAGAACAUCAGGUCUGACUCAUUUCCUCAUAUUCAUGAGGAAUAACAACAACACCACUAAGUGAAAUAGUAUCAUAUAGCCACAGCUUUCCCAGGGAGACAGAGGUUAAAGUCUGGCCUGUAUCAUGUCUCAAUCCCAAAUAUUUGUAAUAAACUAAAAAGUUAUCCUCGCCCCAUCAUGCAUGUCAUUUCUACAAAGCAUGUUGUUUUAAUGUUAUAUUUGGUAACUUUUAGUAUAGGGACCAAUUCUCAGUAUUAACAGUUGCUUAUUAGCAUACCUUCUUAACAUAAUGGCUGUUUAUUAGUACUUAUAAAGCAUUUUUGCAUGAUCAUAUUCUACAUCCCUAAUCCUACCCAAUACCUAAACUUAACAACUACCUUACCUAACUAUUAAUAAGCAGCAAAUUAGGUGUUUAUUGAGUGUGACCUUGAAAUCAUGCAAAAUCUUUAUUUUCUUUUUUUCUUUGCACAGUUUCCUUCAUGGAAGAAUGCAUCCUGAGAUUUUCUGGGAUUUUCAGGAAGCAGCUCAAAUCUAGAGUCAACAGUCUGUUCACAAUGACAUUCUUCUUCCUUUCAAGACUGCAAAGCCACAGCAGUUUCCCAGCGUUUGCAAACAUUUGCUCUUCUCAUACCAAACUCAUACCUGAAAUGCACACGUGAUGACUGCUCUCUGCGGUUACAAACAUAGGCCACUGCGAGCCCUGUUACCGAGCCAGUUCAAAUUACCAGGAGCUUCAAAUGUGGUAUUUUAAGUCCUACAUUGAGUGUGGUCUGUAAAAUGACUUUCAAUUUGUUAGCAAGCCUCUCCCCCCCCCCAACAUGGUUGGUUUUAGCUGGUUGGCAUGGUCUAGUUAAUCCUAGUUCAUCGAGUACUUUAUUAUAGUAGUUUGUAGAGGACUCUUUAAAGUGUGAAACUGGUUUCUCUGUGCAGCUUGAGAAAAUGCCAUUUUGAUGAAUGGAACUGCUCUAUCAAAGUAUCGUAAUCCUCUUCGGUUUCCAUCUGCACCUGCAUAAGGUUUCUCCAGGCACACUGUCUAGUGAGCAUGCCUGAAUUUGCUAUGCAUAUUAAUCUGAUUAAAUACUUCAGAUUGCAUAGACAGCUAGGGGUCAUUACAUGUGCCAAAAGAGAUUCAAGAGCCACUUAGACGUGAAGACACGCUGGUAUGUCAUUACCCAAGCAUCAGUGCCACGAUCUCAGGAGACGUCCAGAACCUUGUGAUCUUCUCAUGCUUGGUGGCCGGAGAUGAGCUAGAUGAACAAGAAUGCCAGGGCUAUAACACGACCCACAUGGCUCCACUCGCAGCUUGGCACUCUCUCUAGGCAGGACCGGCACAGUUGCCAAAUCUGCUCCCCAUUGGUGGGUUUGGCAAAGCCAGAACCUAGAAAAUUUCUCAACACUGCAAUCUGUUUUUCCAUCAGUUACACUGAACUUGAAAUGCCAAGCUGGAAUCUGUUUCUGCUGUGCGUUUAGACUGACAAACAGAUUAUUGCCAAAUGACAUUCCAGUACGAUGCGCUAAAAUCACUGCAGCGGGACUGCUUUAGGCUCUCGUUGGCUAGUGCUUUUUAGCAUGAGCUUUCCAUAAGCCAUUGUCUCACAUUAGUCCCCAAUGUGCUGGGCAGACAGACCAGGGCAGAAUUCCCCUACUUUAAACAACACGUUUCUAUGAGUCAUUAUAUGGGAAAGAGAGAGUGCUGGAGGCAUGCCUGGACAGAUCGGAGUUCCCCUUUACAGCACACACACACACACACACUGAGUCACACACUCCAUGCUCUCCAAAAAGUUGUAUUUUUUCUUCACAAAGUGUCAUUUGUGAUCCAAUGUCCCAUUAAAUUUGUCUUUAUCUCUUCUGUAGCCCAUUUCUAUUCAAAUGCUGUUCUUAAUGCAGACCUCAAU
Molecule: long non-coding RNA, 2804 nt
Organism: Carassius auratus (goldfish)
Lineage: Eukaryota; Metazoa; Chordata; Actinopteri; Cypriniformes; Cyprinidae
Exons: 2
Source: RefSeq, a predicted model, not a curated record